This is a small nucleolar RNA of Polyodon spathula (Mississippi paddlefish), 134 nucleotides long. RefSeq annotates it as small nucleolar RNA SNORA47. Lineage: Eukaryota; Metazoa; Chordata; Actinopteri; Acipenseriformes; Polyodontidae. The record is from RefSeq and is a predicted model, not a curated record. The transcript has a single exon.
UGGAGGAUUGAGAAGGUUUGGCAGCUAAACCCGUGCUGUUUUAACUGGUUAUAACCUCCUACAUUGAAAGAGUUCAGUAGCAGUCGUAAGCUCCAUGCGAUUGCAGGGAGCAGUGCUGCUUCUGCAUACAUGUC